This 392-nucleotide ribosomal RNA is filed under the name uncultured bacterium. RNAcentral's name for it is "partial 16S ribosomal RNA". It matches the Rfam family "Bacterial small subunit ribosomal RNA", at positions 523 to 918 of the family's 1533-position model. The record is from RNAcentral.
AUACGUAGGGGGCGAGCGUUGUCCGGAAUGAUUGGGCGUAAAGGGUGCGCAGGCGGCCGUGCAAGUCAGCGGUGAAAGCCCGGGGCUCAACCCGAUCAUGCGCUGGAAACUGGGCGGCUGGAGUCCCGGAGGGGAUGCCGGAAUUCCAGGUGUAGGGGUGAAAUCUGUAGAUAUCUGGAAGAACACCGAUGGCGAAGGCAGUCCGCUGGGGCACGUCUGACGCUGAUGCUCGAAGGUGCGGGAAUCAAACAGGAUUAGAUACCCUGGUAGUCCGCACGGUAAACGAUGAUUACCCGCUGUCGGCGGUAGACAGUCGGCGGCCAAGCGAAAGCGAUAAGUAAUCCACCUGGGGAGUACGCCGGCAACGGUGAAACUCAAAGGAAUUGACGGGG